This 73-nucleotide transfer RNA is filed under the name Cordylochernes scorpioides. Its description in RNAcentral is "tRNA-Thr". The record is from RNAcentral. Lineage: Eukaryota; Metazoa; Arthropoda; Arachnida; Pseudoscorpiones; Chernetidae.
GUCCAGGGGCGGGAAUCGAACCCAUAACGUUCCGCUUACCGGGCAGAUGCCAUGUCCACUAGGCUACCCUGGA